RNAcentral lists this ribosomal RNA (368 nucleotides) under Polygordius pacificus. Its description in RNAcentral is "partial large subunit ribosomal RNA". It matches the Rfam family "Bacterial large subunit ribosomal RNA", at positions 1945 to 2526 of the family's 2925-position model. The record is from RNAcentral. Lineage: Eukaryota; Metazoa; Annelida; Polychaeta; Polygordiidae.
ACCGUGCAAAGGUAGCAUAAUCACUCGCCUUUUAAUUGGAGGCUAGUAUGAAUGGAUAAACGAAAGUUUCCCUGUCUCCUUUACGCCUAUAAAAAUUAACCUUUGAGUGAAGAUGCUCAAAUGAAAAUGAGUGACAAGAAGACCCUGUCGAGCUUUACCUCUCAGCGAGGCACCAGUAACCUCCACGAGAAACUGCAACCUAGCCCCAGGUUAUGUUGGGGCGACAAAGGGAUAAAACAAUCUCCCUAUAUAAAAGAAGACCUAUCAGUCCUUCUGCUGACCCUACCAAGAUCACAAGCACAAGCUACCGCAGGGAUAACAGGCUAAUUCUCCUCGAGAGCCCACAUUAACAGGAGAGUUUGGCACCU